This 450-nucleotide ribosomal RNA is filed under the name uncultured bacterium. Its description in RNAcentral is "bacterial SSU rRNA". It matches the Rfam family "Bacterial small subunit ribosomal RNA", at positions 355 to 796 of the family's 1533-position model. The record is from RNAcentral.
UAGGGAAUUUUCCACAAUGGGCGAAAGCCUGAUGGAGCAACGCCGCGUGAGGGAUGAAGGAUUUCGGUCUGUAAACCUCUUUGGAGCGGGAAGAACGGCUUCGUGGUGAAUAAUCAUGGAGCGUGACGGUACCGCUAGAACAAGACACGGCUAACUUCGUGCCAGCAGCCGCGGUAAUACGAAGGUGUCGAACGUUGUCCGGAAUUAUUGGGCGUAAAGGGCGCGUAGGCGGCUAGGUAAGUCAGAUGUGAAAGCUCUGGGCUCAACCCAGGAAUUGCAUUUGAAACUGCUUAGCUUGAGUUCGGUAGAGGAGGGCGGAAUUCCUGGUGUAGCGGUGAAAUGCGUAGAUAUCAGGAGGAACACCCGUGGCGAAGGCGGCUCUCUGGUCCGAUACUGACGCUGAGGCGCGAAAGGUAGGGGAGCAAACAGGAUUAGAUACCCCGGUAGUCC